CCUACGGGAGGCAGCAGUGAGGAAUAUUGGUCAAUGGACGAGAGUCUGAACCAGCCAAGUAGCGUGAAGGAUGACUGCCCUAUGGGUUGUAAACUUCUUUUAUAUGGGAAUAAAAUGUUCCACGUGUGGGAUUUUGUAUGUACCAUAUGAAUAAGGAUCGGCUAACUCCGUGCCAGCAGCCGCGGUAAUACGGCGGAUCCGAGCGUUAUCCGGGUUUAUUGGGUUUAAAGGGAGCGUAGGUGGAUUGUUAAGUCAGUUGUGAAAGUUUGCGGCUCAACCGUAAAAUUGCAGUUGAAACUGGCAGUCUUGAGUGCAGUAGAGGUGGGCGGAAUUCGUGGUGUAGCGGUGAAAUGCUUAGAUAUCACGAGGAACUCCGAUUGCGAAGGCAGUUCACUGGACUGCAACUGACACUGAGGCUCGAAAGUGUGGGUAUCAAACAGGAUUAGAUACCCCUGUAGUC
Molecule: ribosomal RNA, 460 nt
Filed under: uncultured bacterium
Lineage: Bacteria
Description: partial 16S ribosomal RNA
Rfam family: Bacterial small subunit ribosomal RNA
Source: RNAcentral